Stegastes partitus (bicolor damselfish) is the source of this 566-nucleotide long non-coding RNA. RefSeq lists it as uncharacterized. The record is from RefSeq and is a predicted model, not a curated record. The transcript has 2 exons. Lineage: Eukaryota; Metazoa; Chordata; Actinopteri; Pomacentridae.
CCGAUCCUGAAGGAGGCAAGAGCCGGGAGAACAAGCUGCUGUUCCGCGAACCAGGCUUCAGCAGAGUGUUUUAAGAUGGUGGACUUGCUUGAAGACAGAGAUCUGAAACACGGCGAAGCAAAGAAACAUUAUUAAGGGCUUCAAAUACACGCUCCUAACCCCCGCGACUCCGGGGGAAAAAGCAAAGGACAAGUUUUUUUUUUCGAGUGUCGCCCAAAUGGCUUUCAAUGAAUAUUAAAAAUCUACUCACGGUAACAAGUGACAUUUCAUGCGUGUUCGAGUGUGGAGCGGCGUGUGGAGUGUGUUUAGCAUGCCGGAGAAACUGUAUGAUAUUAUGACUAAAUACCAGAUAUCCAGAACGCUUUAAAUAUCAAGCAAAAAAAUGUCUGUAGACUCUUAAUCAUCGAGGUCAUGGAAAGACAGAUUGCUUGAGAGGAGAUUGAUGUGAAACGUUUAAGUUUAGUUGUAUAGUCGAUAGAUCUGCAUGUUGGUGGGGAGACGGCAACAAACACCACCUCAGCAGCAUCUGCAGUGCUACAGUUAAAAAAAUAAAACACUGAAGCAGC